This 760-nucleotide ribosomal RNA is filed under the name uncultured archaeon. RNAcentral describes it as "bacterial SSU rRNA". It matches the Rfam family "Archaeal small subunit ribosomal RNA", at positions 108 to 879 of the family's 1478-position model. The record is from RNAcentral.
UUUGGCCGGUGGGGGAACCCCGGGAACUGGGGAUAAUACCCCAUAGACUAUGGAUGCUGGAAUGCUCUGUAGCCGAAAGGUCCGCCGCCGCAGGAUGAGUCUGCGGCCGAUUAGGUUGUUGUUGGGGUAACGGCCCAACAAGCCUGUAAUCGGUACGGGUUGUGGGAGCAAGAGCCCGGAGAUGGAUUCUGAGACACGAAUCCAGGCCCUACGGGGCGCAGCAGGCGCGAAAACUUUGCAAUGCGGGAAACCGUGACAAGGGAACUCCGAGUGCCCGUAAAUUCGGGCUGUCCGCCAGUGUAAACAACUGGUGAAGAAAGGGCCGGGCAAGACCGGUGCCAGCCGCCGCGGUAAUACCGGCGGCUCGAGUGGUGGCCACUAUUACUGGGCUUAAAGCGUUCGUAGCUGGCCUGUUAAGUCUCUGGGGAAAUCUUCCGGCUUAACCGGAAGGCGUCUCAGGGAUACUGGCAGGCUAGGGACCGGUAGAGGUGAGGGGUACUCCAGGGGUAGGAGUGAAAUCCUGUAAUCCUCGGGGGACCACCUGUGGCGAAGGCGCCUCACCAGAACGGCUCCGACAGUGAGGAACGAAAGCUGGGGGAGCAAACCGGAUUAGAUACCCGGGUAGUCCCAGCUGUAAACGAUGCGCGUUAGGUGUAUCGGUGACCACGAGUCACCGAGGUGCCGAAGGGAAACCGUGAAACGUGCCGCCUGGGAAGUACGGUCGCAAGGCUGAAACUUAAAGGAAUUGGCGGGGGAGCAC